AACCUGUCCUGUAAUCGAUAAUCCACGUAAAUUUAACCUGGAAUUGUAUUAACAGCUUGUAUAUCGCUGUCGUAAGAUUAUUUUAUAAGAAAUUUUUCAAUACUAAAAUUUUAUUUAUGUCAAGUCAAGGUGCAGUAAAUGUCUGGGGUUGAGAUGGGUUACAAUAUAGGAAUAUAUACGGAAAUUAAUUUGUAAUAGUUUAUUGAAGGUGGAUUUAAUUGUAAUAUAGUGUUAAUUAUUUUAUAUGGAAAAGUACUAAUAUAUGC
This 266-nucleotide ribosomal RNA is filed under the name Parascutigera festiva. RNAcentral describes it as "partial 12S ribosomal RNA". The record is from RNAcentral. Lineage: Eukaryota; Metazoa; Arthropoda; Chilopoda; Scutigeromorpha; Scutigeridae.